UCAACCUGUUUUUAAAUGUGCUGAUAAACAAAUGUAGAUUUCUUUGAAUAAAACAGUGGAGCCGAGCUUUGAGCUCAGUGUGUAACAGUGUGUGUGUGAGAGCCAUGUAAUGUCCAUGUGUGCAUGCUGACUGUGCUGCUCUGACCCCCCUCCUCCUUUCAGGGUGGAGCCUGCUGGAGUCCGAUGGUUGAGACCAGGUCUGAGGAAGUAUUCCUGUCAACUCACAAUCGACACAAACACAGUACACACAGACCUCCAACUGUCUGACAACAACAGGAAGGUUACAAAUGUGGGGGAGGUUCAGUCAUAUCCUGAUCAUCCAGACAGAUUUGAUGUUCGUCCUCAGCUGCUGUGUAGAAAUGGUCUGACUGGUCGCUGUUACUGGGAGGUCGAGUGGAGAGGAUUCGUUUAUAUAUCAGUGAGUUACAGAAGCAUCAGAAGGAAAGGAGGCAGUGCUGACUGUGUGUUUGGAAACAAUGAUCAGUCCUGGAGUCUGUGCUGCUCUGAUGAUGGUCCUCGUUAUGUCUGGCACAAUAA
This is a long non-coding RNA of Haplochromis burtoni (Burton's mouthbrooder), 537 nucleotides long. RefSeq lists it as uncharacterized. The transcript has 2 exons. The record is from RefSeq and is a predicted model, not a curated record. NCBI's taxonomy places the organism in Eukaryota, Metazoa, Chordata, Actinopteri, Cichliformes, Cichlidae.